ACUCUACAACACCUGAGGCCAGCACUACAGAACAAAUAACUACAGUUGAAUACACAACACAACUGAUCACAGUUACCAACUCUACUACACCUGAGGCCAGCACUAGAGAACAAAUAACUACAGUUGAUAACACAAUACAACUGACCACAGUUACCAACUCUACGACACCUGAGGCCAGCACUACAGAACAAAUGACCAAAGUUACCAACUCUACAACAACUCCACCCACAACAGGACAAAGUACUACAGCUGACCCCACAACACAACUGACCACAGUUACCAACUUUACUACACCUGCAGCUACAACAAAUCAGACAACUGCAGUUGACCCCACAACACAACCGACCACAGACACUAGAACUACAGUAACUACUGAACCACCACCAGCAACUACAAAAACGACACCACCAACAACAAUAC
This is a long non-coding RNA of Oncorhynchus gorbuscha (pink salmon), 420 nucleotides long. RefSeq lists it as uncharacterized. NCBI's taxonomy places the organism in Eukaryota, Metazoa, Chordata, Actinopteri, Salmoniformes, Salmonidae. The record is from RefSeq and is a predicted model, not a curated record. The transcript has 6 exons.